GACGAACGCUGGCGGCGUGCCUAAUACAUGCAAGUUGAGUGCUGAAGGUUGGUACUUGUACCAACUGGAUGAGCAGCGCACGGGUGAGUAACGCGUGGGGAAUCUGCCUUUGAGCGGGGGACAACAUUUGGAAACGAAUGCUAAUACCGCAUAAAAACUUUAAACACAAGUUUUAAGUUUGAAAGAUGCAAUUGCAUCACUCAAAGAUGAUCCCGCGUUGUAUUAGCUAGUUGGUGAGGUAAAGGCUCACCAAGGCGAUGAUACAUAGCCGACCUGAGAGGGUGAUCGGCCACAUUGGGACUGAGACACGGCCCAAACGCCUACGGGAGGCAGCAGUAGGGAAUCUUCGGCAAUGGACGAAAGUCUGACCGAGCAACGCCGCGUGAGUGAAGAAGGUUGUCGGAUCGUAAAACUCUGUUGGUAGAGAAGAACGGUGGUGAGAGUGGAAAGCUCAUCAAGUGACGGUAACUACCCAGAAAGGGACGGCUAACUACGUG
RNAcentral lists this ribosomal RNA (497 nucleotides) under uncultured bacterium. RNAcentral describes it as "partial 16S ribosomal RNA". It matches the Rfam family "Bacterial small subunit ribosomal RNA", at positions 28 to 507 of the family's 1533-position model. The record is from RNAcentral.